This 354-nucleotide ribosomal RNA is filed under the name uncultured bacterium. RNAcentral's name for it is "bacterial SSU rRNA". It matches the Rfam family "Bacterial small subunit ribosomal RNA", at positions 527 to 881 of the family's 1533-position model. The record is from RNAcentral.
GUAGGUGGCGAGCGUUGUCCGGAAUUAUUGGGCGUAAAGAGCAUGUAGGCGGUUUUUUAAGUCUGGAGUGAAAAUGCGGGGCUCAACCCCGUAUGGCUCUGGAUACUGGAAGACUUGAGUGCAGGAGAGGAAAGGGGAAUUCCCAGUGUAGCGGUGAAAUGCGUAGAUAUUGGGAGGAACACCAGUGGCGAAGGCGGAUUGCUGGACGACAACUGACGGUGAGGCGCGAAAGCGUGGGGAGCAAACAGGAUUAGAUACCCUGGUAGUCCACACUGUAAACGAUGAAUACUAGGUGUGCGGGGACUGACCCCCUGCGUGCCGCAGUUAACACAAUAAGUAUUCCACCUGGGAAGU